AAGGCCUUCGGGUCGUAAAGCUCUGUCCUCAAGGAAGAAAUGACGGUACUUGAGGAGGAAGCCCCGGCUAACUACUUGCCACCAGCCGCGGUAAUACGUAGGGGGCUAGCGUUAUCCGGAAUUAUUGGGCGUAAAGGGUGCGUAGGUGGUUUCUUAAGUCAUAGGUGAAAAGCUACGGCUCAACCGUAGUAAGCCUUUGAAACUGGGAAACUUGAUUGCAGGAAAAGAAAGUGGAAUUCCUAGUGUAGCGGUGAAAUGCGUAAAUAUUAGGAAGAACAACAAUUGCCAAGGCGGCUUUCUGGACUGUAACUGACACUGAAGCACGAAAGCGUGGGGAGCAAACAGGAUUAAAUACCCUGGUAAUCCACCCCGUAAACGAUGAGUACUAGCUGUCGGAGGUU
This 401-nucleotide ribosomal RNA is filed under the name uncultured Peptostreptococcaceae bacterium. Its description in RNAcentral is "bacterial SSU rRNA". It matches the Rfam family "Bacterial small subunit ribosomal RNA", at positions 411 to 831 of the family's 1533-position model. The record is from RNAcentral. Lineage: Bacteria; Bacillati; Bacillota; Clostridia; Peptostreptococcales; Peptostreptococcaceae.